AACGAACGCUGGCGGUAUGCUUUACACAUGCAAGUCGAACGGUUAAGAGCCGUAGCAAUACGGAAUUCUGCUAGUGGCAAACGGGUGAGUAACGCGUGGGAACCUACCUUAUAGUACGGAAUAGCCCCGGGAAACUGGGAUUAAUACCGUAUACGCUCUUCGGAGGAAAGCUUUAUCGCUAUAAGAUGGGCCCGCGUUAGAUUAGCUAGUUGGUGAGGUAAUGGCUCACCAAGGCGACGAUCUAUAGCUGGUUUGAGAGGAUGAUCAGCCACACUGGAACUGAGACACGGUCCAGACUUCUACGGGAGGCAGCAGUGGGGAAUAUUGGACAAUGGGCGAAAGCCUGAUCCAGCAAUACCGCGUGAGUGAUGAAGGCCUUAGGGUUGUAAAACUCUUUCAGUAGGGAAGAUAAUGACGGUACCUACAGAAGAAGCACCGGCUAACUCCGUGCCAGCAGCCGCAGUAA
RNAcentral lists this ribosomal RNA (466 nucleotides) under uncultured bacterium. RNAcentral's name for it is "partial 16S ribosomal RNA". It matches the Rfam family "Bacterial small subunit ribosomal RNA", at positions 29 to 523 of the family's 1533-position model. The record is from RNAcentral.